UAAUUUUUUAUCCAAAAUUUAUAAAUGAUAUUAAAGAAAAUGAGAUUGUUUGCAACCUAUUGAAAUGAAACAGCUCAUUCGUAAACGAGUGCACUGAUCCCAUUACGAGGACGUUCCACCUAAUCCAAGCUCGGCCAGCCCAGUCCGUUAAUAGCGUCCUAAUCGAGUUCCACUGGUACGAGUUCCACUGCUACAUGUGUCCCCGUCCUGAUUUGAAGGAAAAGAGAAUAACGCUGCAAGCAAAGCCUCUAAAAGUCAUUACCUCAUUAGCGAAUCAACGGUCUUAAAAUGGAAAAAUAGAAGAAGAGCACACUGAAAUGCCAACGAAUUGGGAUAAUUUAAUCGGAAAGGUACUUUUUUAAAGCUUGCGCAAUCCCGGAUAAAAAUACAUUCUCAGCCUCAGCGCAGAAUCAUAAAAAUCCGUUCUUACCGUGUAAUGGGGUGCGUUUACGCAUGAGGAUUCAAGCUUCGGAUCUUGUUAGUCAGUACAGAAAAAUUUGUGCUAGAAGAAAUCUCGGUUGGAAUUUAUAGGUGUUUUCAGUGAAAAUUAUCAAAAGUGUUUUGAGGUUUUAAUUAUAAAGAUAAAUUUAUGAAUUAUUAGUUGAGUUUGCCGGGUUAUAAUUUGAUGGUAAACUAUUCUUAGAAUUCACUACUACUAUUACUCAGAAUUUACAGAAUCUUAGUGGUCGUAACUUGGACACGAAAUCUCGGUGUCCCUCUACUAUCUCUGAUAUUCACCGGCUGUCAUUUAACAAUUAAAAUUAAGUGGAAAACGCGAGUGGUGAUGCGAGGCGAUUAUUCAAUUCAUUUUCUAACUAUCGAUUAUACUUUUCACUUAUUAAUUAGAAAUUAUAACGCAAGUUUGGAUUCUAAGCACGGGUGAUUAAUUUCCGAGCGAGCGAUUUUUGGAGUGGGAGGGAUAAUUGACCGCUGGGGGCCACUCCAUCGGUAAUUUUAAUCUCAAGAUUCUUGGAUGUCUCUGCCACCCUCUCAUGUAGGUAUUGACGGCAAAAGAUGCAAUAUUCCAAUAUAUGGCUCAAAGUGAAAACUAGAGAUUACUUUGGUAGUUACAGAAAACGAUAGAGCUUUCCUGGUUUUGUUCGUGGUAGGCUUGCUUAGAGCCUAAAGAUCAAAGCUUAUCAAAUUUUAAUCUCAAGAUUCUUGGAUGUCUCUGCCACCCUUUUAUGUAGGUAUUUACGGCAAAAGAUGCAAUAUUCCAAUAUGGCUCAUGAAUUUUUGAAAUGUUCCAUAAAUUUGUGGAGCGAACUUAAUAUUUGGCUGUGAAUAAGCGAUAAAUUGACCAGAUUUAUGGCGUAGUCAAAUUGUAAAAAAUUUCAGAUUGUAAAAAAUGUGUAAUUUAUAGCUUUUUUUAUGAAAUGUAAU
This 1383-nucleotide long non-coding RNA is filed under the name Cotesia glomerata. RNAcentral describes it as "uncharacterized LOC123269515, transcript variant X3". Lineage: Eukaryota; Metazoa; Arthropoda; Insecta; Hymenoptera; Braconidae. The record is from RNAcentral.